UAAUACGUAGGGGGCAAGCGUUGUCCGGAAUCACUGGGCGUAAAGAGUACGUAGGCGGUUUGUUAAGUUAGAUGUGAAAGUUUGCAGCUCAACUGUAAAAGUGCAUUUAAAACUGGCAGACUUGAGUCUCGGAGAGGUAAGCGGAAUUCCUAGUGUAGCGGUGAAAUGCGUAGAGAUUAGGAAGAACACCGGUGGCGAAGGCGGCUUACUGGACGAGUACUGACGCUCAGGUACGAAAGCGUGGGGAGCAAACAGG
This 256-nucleotide ribosomal RNA is filed under the name uncultured bacterium. RNAcentral describes it as "partial 16S ribosomal RNA". It matches the Rfam family "Bacterial small subunit ribosomal RNA", at positions 521 to 776 of the family's 1533-position model. The record is from RNAcentral.